AGAGUUUGAUCAUGGCUCAGGACGAACGCUGGCGGCGUGCCUAAUACAUGCAAGUAGAACGCUGAAGACUUUAGCUUGCUAGAGUUGGAAGAGUUGCGAACGGGUGAGUAACGCGUAGGUAACCUGCCUACUAGCGGGGGAUAACUAUUGGAAACGAUAGCUAAUACCGCAUAACAGUGUUUAACACAUGUUAGAUGCUUGAAAGAUGCAAUUGCAUCACUAGUAGAUGGACCUGCGUUGUAUUAGCUAGUUGGUGGGGUAACGGCCUACCAAGGCGACGAUACAUAGCCGACCUGAGAGGGUGAUCGGCCACACUGGGACUGAGACACGGCCCAGACUCCUACGGGAGGCAGCAGUAGGGAAUCUUCGGCAAUGGGGGCAACCCUGACCGAGCAACGCCGCGUGAGUGAAGAAGGUUUUCGGAUCGUAAAGCUCUGUUGUAAGAGAAGAACGUGUGUGAGAGUGGAAAGUUCACACAGUGACGGUAACUUACCAGAAAGGGACGGCUAACUACGUGCCAGCAGCCGCGGUAAUACGUAGGUCCCGAGCGUUGUCCGGAUUUAUUGGGCGUAAAGCGAGCGCAGGCGGUUUAAUAAGUCUGAAGUUAAAGGCAGUGGCUUAACCAUUGUUCGCUUUGGAAACUGUUAAACUUGAGUGCAGAAGGGGAGAGUGGAAUUCCAUGUGUAGCGGUGAAAUGCGUAGAUAUAUGGAGGAACACCGGUGGCGAAAGCGGCUCUCUGGUCUGUAACUGACGCUGAGGCUCGAAAGCGUGGGGAGCAAACAGGAUUAGAGACCCUGGUAGUCC
Molecule: ribosomal RNA, 805 nt
Filed under: uncultured bacterium
Lineage: Bacteria
Description: bacterial SSU rRNA
Rfam family: Bacterial small subunit ribosomal RNA
Source: RNAcentral